Molecule: long non-coding RNA, 1311 nt
Filed under: Capsicum annuum
Lineage: Eukaryota; Viridiplantae; Streptophyta; Magnoliopsida; Solanales; Solanaceae
Description: long non-coding RNA (CANN_LNC002428)
Source: RNAcentral
UCGUUCUUAUUUAGCGAUGGGUAUUUGACAAUUUAUAUAAUGUGUUCUAUUGUGAGGAUUUAUCACAAGCCUUGUUAUUUUUUACUUGAGCCGAGGAUCUUGCUGAAACAUCCUCUCUACCUCCACGAGGUAGGGGUAAGGUUCACGUACACUCUACCUCCCCAGACCUCACUUGUUACACUGGGAAUAUUGUUGUUGUUCUGAGGAUUCAUCGCAAUUCGACUAGUUGUACGGUGGCCAGUCUAUCACAAUCGUUCUCGCUUAUCCGGUUACGAUGUAGGGGUAAGGUUCACGUACACUCUACCUCCCCAGACCCCACUUGUUGGAAUACACUGGGAAUAUUGUUGUUGUUCUGAGGAUUCAUCGCAAUGCGACUAGUUGUACGAUGGCCAGUCUAUCACAAUCUUCUUCCUAAUCCGGUUGGGACCAGCGAUAUGAGCAAGCUCACACAUAGUUGGGAUUCAUAUAGCGACCCUAUCUUUCUUGCGAUUUAGGCGUUGUUAUUGUUGUUACAUGACGUGUUCUAUUCCCUUACGGUUAAAAUUCUUUUCGUGUUGCAGUUGAGACCAAAGCGAGCUGCGGCUGAAAAUCUAGCACCAGAGCAUGGAUCGAAGCAUCAUAGGGUAUCCACCUGAGACGCUUCUCUUUACGUGCUACUGUGGGGUCGGGGAAGAAGAUGAGGUAAUGCAAAUUGUGGUGGUUGCGAACGGGACGAUACACAACUUUGUUUUAGAAGAUUAACUAACUUAUAAAUAGGUUAAAAUCUUCUGGUUUCGCUGCAUAUUUCUGUAAAUAUUUGUUGUAAUGAUGCAGAUGCAUGUUGUAAAACUCUGAAAGAGAUUGUUUGCAAAUUGUCAUUUAGCAAAUGAGAUGUGCACAUAAUGAAAAUGUUAUGUUGGUUGAGAUUUUGAUUUGGGAGAGUUACUUUAUUUCUUUUUCGUGUUGCAGUUGAGACCAAAGCGAGCUGCGGCUGAAAAUCUAGCACCAGAGCAUGGAUCGAAGCAUCAUAGGGUAUCCACUUGAGACGCUUCUCUUUACGUGCUACUGUGGGGUCGGGGAAGAACAUGAGGUAAUGCAAAUUGUGGUGGUUGCGAACGGGACGAUACACAACUUUGUUUUAGAAGAUUAACUAACUUAUAAAUAGGUUAAAAUCUUCUGGUUUUGCUGCAUAUUUCUGUAAAUAUUUGUUGUAAUGAUGCAGAUGCAUGUUGUAAAACUCUGAAAGAGAUUGUUUGCAAAUUGUCAUUUAGCAAAUGAGAUGUGCACAUAAUGAAAAUGUUAUGUUGGUUGAGAUUUUGAUUUGGGAGAGUU